UACGAAGGGGGCUAGCGUUGCUCGGAAUGACUGGGCGUAAAGGGCGCGUAGGCGGCCGAUCAAGUCAGGGGUGAAAGCCUGUGGCUCAACCACAGAAUUGCCUUUGAUACUGUUCGGCUCGAGACCGGAAGAGGUAAGUGGAACUGCGAGUGUAGAGGUGAAAUUCGUAGAUAUUCGCAAGAACACCAGUGGCGAAGGCGGCUUACUGGUCCGGUUCUGGACGCUGAGGCGCGAAAGCGUGGGGAGCAAACAGG
RNAcentral lists this ribosomal RNA (254 nucleotides) under uncultured bacterium. RNAcentral's name for it is "partial 16S ribosomal RNA". It matches the Rfam family "Bacterial small subunit ribosomal RNA", at positions 524 to 776 of the family's 1533-position model. The record is from RNAcentral.